This 65-nucleotide transfer RNA is filed under the name Phlaeoba tenebrosa. RNAcentral describes it as "tRNA-Arg". Lineage: Eukaryota; Metazoa; Arthropoda; Insecta; Orthoptera; Acrididae. The record is from RNAcentral.
GGAUAAGAAGCGAAUCUUGCAUUCAGUUUCGACCUGAAAAACUUGGUAAAUAUUACCCUUAUCCU